Molecule: ribosomal RNA, 602 nt
Filed under: Strigula antillarum
Lineage: Eukaryota; Fungi; Ascomycota; Dothideomycetes; Strigulales; Strigulaceae
Description: eukaryotic LSU rRNA
Rfam family: 5.8S ribosomal RNA (bases 255-408)
Source: RNAcentral
UAAGAUAUGGUCGGGCUCCCAGGGAGACCUGGGAGAUGAGAUUACGCGCAUGAGAUGCGGUUGUCCUUAACUGUUCCGUAGGUGAACCUGCGGAAGGAUCAUUACCAAGAGCGGGUCCCCUCGUGGGAUCAACGCCCUUUCUCCUGCCCUUACCACCUGAAAUCCUUCGGCGGGCGCCUCGCGGCCCCGCCGGGGGCCUUUUUCCGAAUAUUCUCGCCGGGAUGCCUGUCGGAGUGUAUUGCGAAAUAAAUCAAAACUUUCAACAACGGAUCUCUUGGUUCUGGCAACGAUGAAGAACGCAGCAAAAUGCGAUAAUUAAUGUGAAUUGCAGAUUUUAGUGAAUCAUCGAGUUUUUGAACGCACAUUGCGCCCCUUGGUAUUCCGGGGGGCAUGCCUGUCUGAGCGUCGUUUCGACCAUCGAGCCCAGCUCGGUUUUGGGGGCUUCAUCCUGCGCUGGAUGCCCCCGUAAGUCGUUGGCGGCUGCCGUUCGGCCACCUGGCGUAGCAGAGCUUUUCGCCUCGGUGUCCGCGGUCGCCUGCCGCAGGCCCUUCGGGGUCUGCGCACCCCUGGACGCUGACUCAGAUCAGGUAGGAUACCCGCUG